This 1277-nucleotide ribosomal RNA is filed under the name Pseudarthrobacter oxydans. RNAcentral's name for it is "bacterial SSU rRNA". It matches the Rfam family "Bacterial small subunit ribosomal RNA", at positions 112 to 1399 of the family's 1533-position model. The record is from RNAcentral. Lineage: Bacteria; Bacillati; Actinomycetota; Actinomycetes; Micrococcales; Micrococcaceae.
AACACGUGAGUAACCUGCCCUUAACUCUGGGAUAAGCCUGGGAAACUGGGUCUAAUACCGGAUAUGACUCCUCAUCGCAUGGUGGGGGGUGGAAAGCUUUAUUGUGGUUUUGGAUGGACUCGCGGCCUAUCAGCUUGUUGGUGAGGUAAUGGCUCACCAAGGCGACGACGGGUAGCCGGCCUGAGAGGGUGACCGGCCACACUGGGACUGAGACACGGCCCAGACUCCUACGGGAGGCAGCAGUGGGGAAUAUUGCACAAUGGGCGCAAGCCUGAUGCAGCGACGCCGCGUGAGGGAUGACGGCCUUCGGGUUGUAAACCUCUUUCAGUAGGGAAGAAGCGAAAGUGACGGUACCUGCAGAAGAAGCGCCGGCUAACUACGUGCCAGCAGCCGCGGUAAUACGUAGGGCGCAAGCGUUAUCCGGAAUUAUUGGGCGUAAAGAGCUCGUAGGCGGUUUGUCGCGUCUGCCGUGAAAGUCCGGGGCUCAACUCCGGAUCUGCGGUGGGUACGGGCAGACUAGAGUGAUGUAGGGGAGACUGGAAUUCCUGGUGUAGCGGUGAAAUGCGCAGAUAUCAGGAGGAACACCGAUGGCGAAGGCAGGUCUCUGGGCAUUAACUGACGCUGAGGAGCGAAAGCAUGGGGAGCGAACAGGAUUAGAUACCCUGGUAGUCCAUGCCGUAAACGUUGGGCACUAGGUGUGGGGGACAUUCCACGUUUUCCGCGCCGUAGCUAACGCAUUAAGUGCCCCGCCUGGGGAGUACGGCCGCAAGGCUAAAACUCAAAGGAAUUGACGGGGGCCCGCACAAGCGGCGGAGCAUGCGGAUUAAUUCGAUGCAACGCGAAGAACCUUACCAAGGCUUGACAUGAACCGGAAAGACCUGGAAACAGGUGCCCCGCUUGCGGUCGGUUUACAGGUGGUGCAUGGUUGUCGUCAGCUCGUGUCGUGAGAUGUUGGGUUAAGUCCCGCAACGAGCGCAACCCUCGUUCUAUGUUGCCAGCACGUGAUGGUGGGGACUCAUAGGAGACUGCCGGGGUCAACUCGGAGGAAGGUGGGGACGACGUCAAAUCAUCAUGCCCCUUAUGUCUUGGGCUUCACGCAUGCUACAAUGGCCGGUACAAAGGGUUGCGAUACUGUGAGGUGGAGCUAAUCCCAAAAAGCCGGUCUCAGUUCGGAUUGGGGUCUGCAACUCGACCCCAUGAAGUCGGAGUCGCUAGUAAUCGCAGAUCAGCAACGCUGCGGUGAAUACGUUCCCGGGCCUUGUACACACCGCCCGUCA